RNAcentral lists this ribosomal RNA (493 nucleotides) under uncultured bacterium. RNAcentral describes it as "bacterial SSU rRNA". It matches the Rfam family "Bacterial small subunit ribosomal RNA", at positions 55 to 527 of the family's 1533-position model. The record is from RNAcentral.
AUGCAGUCGUGCGAGAAGUCGACUUCGGUCGAUGAGUAGAGCGGCGAACGGGUGAGUAACACGUGGAUAACCUGCCUAGGAGCGGGGGAUAACCUGGGGAAACUCGGGCUAAUACCGCAUACGUUCUCAGCGUCAUGGCGCUGAGGGGAAAGCUGGCCAAUUCUUGAAAGCUAGCACUCCUAGAGGGGUCCGCGCUCGAUUAGCUUGUUGGUGGGGUAAUGGCCUACCAAGGCUGCGAUCGAUAGCCGGCCUGAGAGGGCGAUCGGCCACACUGGGACUGAGACACGGCCCAGACUCCUACGGGAGGCAGCAGUGGGGAAUAUUGGACAAUGGGCGCAAGCCUGAUCCAGCAACGCCGCGUGGAGGACGAAGGCCUUCGGGUCGUAAACUCCUGUCAGUUGGGACGAAAAGCCGUCGAUUAAUAGUCGGCGGUCCUGACGGUACCAGCAGAGGAAGCCCCGGCUAACUCCGUGCCAGCAGCCGCGGUAAUACG